GAUGAACGCUGGCGGCGUGCCUAAUACAUGCAAGUCGAGCGAACAGACGAGGAGCUUGCUCCUCUGAUGUUAGCGGCGGACGGGUGAGUAACACGUGGAUAACCUACCUAUAAGACUGGGAUAACUUCGGGAAACCGGAGCUAAUACCGGAUAACAUGUUGAACCGCAUGGUUCAACAGUGAAAGACGGUCUUGCUGUCACUUAUAGAUGGAUCCGCGCCGCAUUAGCUAGUUGGUAAGGUAACGGCUUACCAAGGCAACGAUGCGUAGCCGACCUGAGAGGGUGAUCGGCCACACUGGAACUGAGACACGGUCCAGACUCCUACGGGAGGCAGCAGUAGGGAAUCUUCCGCAAUGGGCGAAAGCCUGACGGAGCAACGCCGCGUGAGUGAAGAAGGUCUUCGGAUCGUAAAACUCUGUUAUUAGGGAAGAGCAAAUGUGUAAGUAACUAUGCACGUCUUGACGGUACCUAAUCAGAAAGCCACGGCUAACUACGUG
This 497-nucleotide ribosomal RNA is filed under the name uncultured bacterium. Its description in RNAcentral is "partial 16S ribosomal RNA". It matches the Rfam family "Bacterial small subunit ribosomal RNA", at positions 28 to 507 of the family's 1533-position model. The record is from RNAcentral.